Molecule: ribosomal RNA, 301 nt
Filed under: uncultured bacterium
Lineage: Bacteria
Description: partial 16S ribosomal RNA
Rfam family: Bacterial small subunit ribosomal RNA
Source: RNAcentral
CAGUAGCCGCGGGAAUACGAAGGGUGCAAGCGUUAAUCGGAAUUACCGGGCGUAAAGCGUGCGCAGGCGGUUUGUUAAGACAGAUGUGAAAUCCCCGGGCUCAACCUGGGAACUGCAUUUGUGACUGGCAAGCUAGAGUGUGGCAGAGGGGGGUGGAAUUCCGCGUGUAGCAGUGAAAUGCGUAGAUAUGCGGAGGAACACCGAUGGCGAAGGCAGCCCCCUGGGCCAACACUGACGCUCAUGCACGAAAGCGUGGGGAGCAAACAGGAUUAGAUACCCGUGUAGUCCCUGUCUCUUAUAA